Molecule: long non-coding RNA, 2076 nt
Filed under: Nicotiana benthamiana
Lineage: Eukaryota; Viridiplantae; Streptophyta; Magnoliopsida; Solanales; Solanaceae
Description: long non-coding RNA (NBEN_LNC031828)
Rfam family: MIR6151 microRNA precursor family (bases 254-324)
Source: RNAcentral
AAAAUUAAAGACAAAAGCCUUAAUCCCUAAUCUCCCAAAUAUUCAGAGACACGGGCACCGUUCUUCUCCGAAGACCACCCGAAUCCAACCCCCAUUUCAGCCCAAAUCCAAGCGAGUGAGUACCAAAUCUCAAAACCACGCGUCCCUCCUUCUCUCAUCUUACCGUUCUAACGGUUUCUGACGCCAAUAUUCCCUCUCCUCUCACUCGCUCGGUUUUUGAGACCUAUCUCAUGAUUGGAAGCUUCUGGAGAUGAAAGGAUGGAUGAAUGUGAGGCGUUGGAUUGGUUUCAUUCAAUCUGAGCCCCACAUUCAUCAAGGAUUGGUCUUCAAAAGAGGCUUUAUCCCAUUUUGUGAGGGGGAGGCUAGAAUUUGAGAGAAAAAAAGUGGAAAAGAAUUUUGGAAUUUAUGGUUUAUCUGAGUGGGUUCUUUCUUCUUGGUCGAGUUAUUUUAAAAGUUUAAAAGAAACAUUAUAUACAUUUUGUGAUUUCAGAAUCCGGAUUUGAGUUCCUGGAAGAUACAAAUUGAAGUUCGAACUCUGGUUCUACUGUUGUUCUGCUGAGAUGCUGCUAAACCUCGCUCAUAUUCGAAGGCGAAAGGCGUACCGUUAAGGCUGUAGUUAUUAACACGAGUUUGCAACUUCAGGUUCGAAUCUCCUUUUCACUGUGUAACUCUGUUUUUUUAAGAAAAUGUUCUUGAGAUGUGCAUUCUGUCUCGAAUGGUUCUAUGAUUGAAUUUCCUGUUGAAUGAAUCCAUUCUCAGUGGUGUGAUGAAUUUAAGUAUGCUCAGUUAGUAAAAGAUGAAUUUGAAUGGUCGUUUUCUAUGCCUUGAAUGUUUUAGUUAUUAUUAUGGUGUUGAAGUAUCUCGUGGGUUAAGAUUUCCUCGAGUUGAAAUGGGUGAUCUGUUCGGCUUCAUGAUUGUUGAAUGAGUCGUAAUCAUCGAUGCAUAUUCUCAUGGUUUUCUGUUUGGUUCUCUGAUUUUCCAGUACGAGUACCAUUCAAUGUUAGAAUACUUAGGUCAUAAUCAAAUUGGUAGAGUCGUAUGCAUGAUUGUCGAUGUUUCAACUGGUUUGUUUUCUUCUGAAAAAUACACAGCAACUUGUUCUUUGUUUCUUCAGUUGUUAAAGGCUGAGAUAUUGCGUUAAGGAACUGAAGUUGAAGGUCUAAAUUCGAAAGGAUCACUGUAAUCUGCUGAAAUGGAUAGGUAUCUGGAAUUCAAUGUCAUGUUUGGAUCUUGUUUUGGCAUAUGUUACUCACUUAUAAGGCAACUGAUUAAUUGUGUUGAAGUUUAGCUAUUUUAGUUCCUUCAAAACAGGAUCUGAAUUGAAUUUCUUAGCUUUCUGUGUGCUGAAAUUGAUGUAGCCACGUGUAAAGAUUCUUCGUUGAUUAUAAGAUUUUGGUCAGCUCUUUCUUAAGUUCGAAAGGAAAGUUGGUUGAAAGUUGCUCUCUUAUCAAGUUUUCAUGAGACUUUUAGUACUUGUAUAGUACUUUCGACUUCAAGGUGUGAGGUUUAAUAUGGUUGAGUCUGGAUUGUUGUGAGAACAUCUUAUUUGGUUGUAAUUAUGUGACAAUCCAAAGUUGGAUUAAUAAGCUUUUAUCGCUGGAAAUGAUACCAUAAUCUCAUGAAGUUAGUUAUGUUCAAUCAACAAAAGAAAUUGGCUCUUGCUUUCUUCUAUUUGCCUCUAAUUGAUCUUGCUUUUAAACUGAUUGCUUGAAGCUGAAGUUUUAAGUUGAAAUCGUCCAACUGCUUUAAUGACAUGUCACGAAUUCAGUUUGCAUACAUACCUAGUGUCGUCCAGCAUUGCUUCCAAUAAGGAUUUCUGUUUUGUUCAAAUUUUCUUUCAGUGAAGUUAUGCACAGACUAUUCAUGAACCAAAUCAUUUUGUUGAUUCACCAUGAUGGUAGGAUCCGUUAGUUGUCCUGCAUUUCAAUGGUUAAAACAGGUUAGAAUAGGUCUAGAAGUGACAUUUGUCAAGGCAGAGUUAAGCGCUCGAAUGGUGGUUGUUGAUUUGUUAGCUUCAAGCUCGAUUCAUAUGAUUCAAAAACUAUCCGAAAUCUGUUUUGUUAAAAUAAUUUUCAG